This 1487-nucleotide ribosomal RNA is filed under the name metagenome. Its description in RNAcentral is "bacterial SSU rRNA". It matches the Rfam family "Bacterial small subunit ribosomal RNA". The record is from RNAcentral.
AGAGUUUGAUCCUGGCUCAGGACGAACGCUGGCGGCGUGCUUAACACAUGCAAGUCGAACGGGGCCCAACCAGUAGCAAUACUGGGGAAGGUCUAGUGGCGAACGGGUGAGUAACACGUGAGGAACCUGCCCUGAAGAUCGGGAUAAGCCGGGGAAACCUGGUCUAAUACCGAAUAUCUCCGACUGGCCGCAUGACCGGUCGAAGAAAUGGAUUCCGCUUCAGGAGGGCCUCGCGGCCUAUCAGCUUGUUGGUGGGGUAACGGCCUACCAAGGCUCCGACGGGUAGCUGGUCUGAGAGGACGAUCAGCCACACUGGGAUUGAGACACGGCCCAGACUCCUACGGGAGGCAGCAGUGGGGAAUCUUGCGCAAUGGGCGAAAGCCUGACGCAGCAACGCCGCGUGGGGGAUGAAUGCCUUCGGGUUGUAAACCCCUUUCAGCUCCGACGAAGCGCAAGUGACGGUAGGAACAGAAGAAGGACCGGCCAACUACGUGCCAGCAGCCGCGGUAAUACGUAGGGUCCGAGCGUUGUCCGGAUUUAUUGGGCGUAAAGCGCUCGUAGGCGGUUCGGUAAGUCGGGUGUGAAACCUCCAGGCUCAACCUGGUGACGCCACCCGAUACUGCCGUGACUUGAGUUCGGUAGGGGAGCGGGGAAUUCCUGGUGUAGCGGUGAAAUGCGCAGAUAUCAGGAGGAACACCGGUGGCGAAGGCGCCGCUCUGGGCCGAAACUGACGCUGAGGAGCGAAAGCGUGGGGAGCGAACAGGAUUAGAUACCCUGGUAGUCCACGCCGUAAACGUUGGGCACUAGGUGUGGGUCCUAACCAACGGGAUCCGUGCCGUCGCUAACGCAUUAAGUGCCCCGCCUGGGGAGUACGGCCGAAAGGCUAAAACUCAAAGGAAUUGACGGGGGCCCGCACAAGCAGCGGAGCAUGUUGCUUAAUUCGAGGCAACGCGAAGAACCUUACCUGGGUUUGACAUGCUGGGAAAAGCCGCAGAGAUGCGGUGUCCUUCGGGGCCCAGCACAGGUGGUGCAUGGCUGUCGUCAGCUCGUGUCGUGAGAUGUUGGGUUAAGUCCCGCAACGAGCGCAACCCUUGUCCUAUGUUGCCAGCGCGUAAUGGCGGGGACUCGUAGGAGACUGCCGGGGUCAACUCGGAGGAAGGUGGGGACGACGUCAAGUCAUCGUGCCCCUUAUAUCCAGGGCUGCAAACAUGCUACAAUGGCCGGUACAAAGGGCUGCUAUCCCGCGAGGGUGCGCGAAUCCCAAAAAGCCGGUCUCAGUUCGGAUCGGAGUCUGCAACUCGACUCCGUGAAGCCGGAGUUGCUAGUAAUCCCGGAUCAGCAUCGCCGGGGUGAAUACGUUCCCGGGCCUUGUACACACCGCCCGUCACACCACGAAAGUCGGCAACACCCGAAGCCGGUGGCCUAACCCUUGUGGAGGGAGCCGUCGAAGGUGGGGUCGGUGAUUGGGGUGAAGUCGUAACAAGGUA